GGGCUUGUGGUUUAGUGGUAUAAUACUCCCUUAGCAUCUCGCAGCUUCUUCGAGGCCUGACGGAAUACGAAUGGGAGUGGUCCAGGGUUCGAUUCCCUGCAAGUCCA
Molecule: non-coding RNA, 107 nt
Organism: Boeremia exigua
Lineage: Eukaryota; Fungi; Ascomycota; Dothideomycetes; Pleosporales; Didymellaceae
Source: the annotation of a RefSeq genome assembly